RNAcentral lists this unclassified non-coding RNA (221 nucleotides) under soil metagenome. RNAcentral's name for it is "partial internal transcribed spacer 1". The record is from RNAcentral.
GUGGUUUUUUGGCAGCGCUGUUGUAGUGUAUGGUGGUGGUGUUGGGUUUGGUGUGGUGUGUGUUGUGUCUGUGUGUUCUGCUGUGUUUACUUGGCCUUGGCCUUGGUCUUGGCACAGCAACGGACGACGGCACAGCAGCGGACGACGGAACACUCGGACCAGACCCAACAGACCUCGCCAGAUAGACGUCUUUGCUUGCUUUGAUGAAACCAAAUCAAAUA